AUACGGAGGGUCCAAGCGUUAUCCGGAAUCAUUGGGUUUAAAGGGUCCGCAGGCGGUCAAUUAAGUCAGAGGUGAAAGCCCAUCGCUCAACGAUGGAACUGCCUUUGAUACUGGUUGACUUGAGUUAUACGGAAGUAGAUAGAAUAAGUAGUGUAGCGGUGAAAUGCAUAGAUAUUACUUAGAGUACCGAUUGCGAAGGCAGUCUACUACGUAUAUACUGACGCUGAGGGACGAAAGCGUGGGGAGCGAACAGGAUUAGAAACCCCAGUAGUCC
RNAcentral lists this ribosomal RNA (274 nucleotides) under uncultured bacterium. RNAcentral's name for it is "partial 16S ribosomal RNA". It matches the Rfam family "Bacterial small subunit ribosomal RNA", at positions 523 to 796 of the family's 1533-position model. The record is from RNAcentral.